UGAAGCCGGAAUUGCUAGUAAUGGCAGGUCAGCAUACUGCCGUGAAUACGUUCCCGGGCCUUGUACACACCGCCCGUCACACCAUGAGAGUUGGGAAUACCCGAAGCCUGUGAGCUAACUUUUAGAGGCAGCAGUCGAAGGUAGAAUCAAUGAUUGGGGUGAAGUCGUAACAAGGUAAC
This 179-nucleotide ribosomal RNA is filed under the name uncultured bacterium. Its description in RNAcentral is "partial 16S ribosomal RNA". It matches the Rfam family "Bacterial small subunit ribosomal RNA", at positions 1321 to 1500 of the family's 1533-position model. The record is from RNAcentral.